Molecule: ribosomal RNA, 45 nt
Filed under: Aspergillus terreus
Lineage: Eukaryota; Fungi; Ascomycota; Eurotiomycetes; Eurotiales; Aspergillaceae
Description: partial 28S ribosomal RNA
Source: RNAcentral
UUGACCUCGGAUCAGGUAGGGAUACCCGCUGAACUUAAGCAACAU